AUGGACACACCGGCGGUACCGCUGUCGCGUGAGCACCAUGGGGGACAAAGCGGAGAUGCGAUGCGCCGCGAGGAGCAGCUUAGGACCACGUUGCACUAUGAUGACAAGGAGAAGCUGCGCAGGAAGUUGGCCCUGUUGCAGAGGGAGUACCUCAGGACAGCUGAGAGACUGCAGCGGGCCGAGCGUCUGGACGCAGUGCGGAGACAUGUGAGGAGCAGGAUCGGUCGGCAGGACCAGGACCAGGACCAGAGAGACCCGGAGGAGACACCGGGUCCCCGUCUCAAGCCAUCACCAUGGGUACCGAACGCCACCAAUGGGACAGCACCACGCGCCGCUCCGUGCCCGGGACACGCGGGAGCAGUUUCCGAUGCCUCCAGGAAGAGCCCGGUGAUCCGCUUCCUGCUCCCCUCCGCUGCCGUCGGCCCGCAGACACCGGACCCCCGGCACGACACCGUCAGCGGUCACAGGCCGAGUCCCGCCCUGCGCCUCCGGUCUCGACGCAGCCGCCUGCGCUGGGAAAGGAGGAGCGCCGAGGCCGGCGGGAGCGCCGACGACCACAGCGAGGAACCCCGGGAGCGAUGUGGCAGGAUGGAGACUGAUGGGGCGGAAGGGUGCGAGGGCGGAGUCAGAGCGGAGGCCGCGAACGAGAGCGAGGAGCCGCUGUCCUGCGACGACUCCGAGUCUCCGUCCCUGCUGCUUCCGCAGUGGAACGCUCCCGGGGCAGCAGGAGCGGGAGGUAACGAGGGGGAAGAGACGCGAGAACGACUAACGGAGACAGACGCCGAGCUCCCGCGUUGGACCGGAACGGGAGCCAGAAGGGAGACGGAGGAAGGAGGGAAGAGUAAAGAGGACCGGGACGGAAGGCUGUUUGAAGGCGGCAGCGAAAGAGACGCCGAACAAAUGGCAGCAGAGCUUAGAGAAAGAGAAAAGGGUGGCGAGAACGCGGCUGGGAUCAGAGAAGAGGAGAGCGAGCUGACUGGAGGAGAGCGUGACGGGAAGGGCGCCAGUCCCCGGGACUCUUGUACCUUACGAGAAGGACUACUUUACCCGGCGGAGUACUACGUCCGGACCACGAGACGGAUGACCCUUUCGCAGAGCCAGCCGGACACGCAGGCCGUCGUAUUCUCCCAGCUGAGCGCCGGACAGCAUCGGGCGGGCCGCGGCAGAGGCCCGACGCGCUUGGACCGCCGCACCGCCGCAUGUUCGUCCUCGCCGACGUCCGGCGAGCUCAACGGCCACAGCUCCAGAGAGACGCCCGACCCAAUCCCGUGGUGUGAAAUCGACGGCGACGCUCGCGUCCCCCCCCCCGAUCGCCGCCGCCGCCCGUCCGGCGAGAGGCAGGAGGACGAGAAGAGGUAGAGGCCGGGGCGGAGGGAGGACGCGGACCCCGCGGCGCCCACUUAUUGGAGAACCAAAUCAACAACCGGGCCUCGGAACGACCUCAGACAACCCCCGGGCCCCCGGCCCGCCCCCACAUGGAGCCGAGGGACCGGGACAAGCCGCGGCGGCGCGGGACGAGCCGGAGGCUGCGUCGGCCUGCAGGGCGGCCACGCCUCCUUCCCCUGGAGAAACCCAGCCAGGCUCCGCCUCUGGACACGCGAAGAAGGUCUUCCCCAUCUUCUUGAGGAGCGAGGCGAACGGAUCCAGACAGACGAGUAGGAGAA
Long non-coding RNA from Gasterosteus aculeatus (three-spined stickleback), 1664 nucleotides. The record is from Ensembl. Lineage: Eukaryota; Metazoa; Chordata; Actinopteri; Perciformes; Gasterosteidae.